CCAACACCCACUAAAUGUUUUCCCAGACUCCUGUAAACAGAGGCUACAUAAUAUUGCACCUGGAGAAAGGGAGCAAUUCCAGCUUUCCGGUUGACAGCAUGACAGCAGUUCCAGCUCUCAGAGGAACAGCACAGGAGCAGCUCCAGCUCUCAGAAUUACAGCACAGGAGCAGUUCCAGCUCUUGGAGUCACAGCACGGAAGCGGUUACUGCUGAUUUUCAGCCAAAGAAGAGCUAAAUGGUUGAAGAGAGAGGAGAGCAAGAAGAUAGAAACAGAAUUUUCCAGAGGUUUUUGGGAAUGGGGAAUUCGCACAUUCUCUGGACAACCUGUGCCAGUAUCUCACCACCCUCACAGUAGACAAUCUUUUCUUAAAAAUUUGGAAGGCAGAAAGAAUGAAGGUGCCAUGUAAGAAACAAAGAGACAUUUGUCCUGGAGGAAUCCCACCGAGAAGCAAAGUGCUGGGGCAGUUCCAGGCUAAUGUCCCAUCACUAAGCCUGGUCAAUGCCAUCGAGUUUAGCUGCAGGGCUGGUGCCAAGAAGAUGGUGUCACACUUUUUUUGGUGAUGCCCAGCGACAGGACGAGGAGCAAUGGCCAUAAACUAAAACACAAGAAAUUCCAACAUGAAGAAGAAUUUCUUUCUAUGGAGUGUGGCGGAGCUCUGGAACAGCUGCCCAGGGAGA
Molecule: long non-coding RNA, 679 nt
Organism: Oenanthe melanoleuca
Lineage: Eukaryota; Metazoa; Chordata; Aves; Passeriformes; Muscicapidae
Exons: 3
Source: RefSeq, a predicted model, not a curated record